UACGUAGGGUGCAAGCGUUAAUCGGAAUUACUGGGCGUAAAGCGCACGUAGGCGGCUUUGCAAGUUAGAGGUGAAAGCCUGGGGCUCAACUCCAGAACUGCCUUUAAAACUGCAUCGCUUGAAUCCAGGAGAGGUGAGUGGAAUUCCGAGUGUAGAGGUGAAAUUCGUAGAUAUUCGGAAGAACACCAGUGGCGAAGGCGGCUCACUGGACUGGUAUUGACGCUGAGGUGCGAAAGCGUGGGGAGCAAACAGG
RNAcentral lists this ribosomal RNA (253 nucleotides) under uncultured bacterium. Its description in RNAcentral is "partial 16S ribosomal RNA". It matches the Rfam family "Bacterial small subunit ribosomal RNA", at positions 524 to 776 of the family's 1533-position model. The record is from RNAcentral.